RNAcentral lists this ribosomal RNA (422 nucleotides) under uncultured Nitrospira sp. RNAcentral's name for it is "bacterial SSU rRNA". It matches the Rfam family "Bacterial small subunit ribosomal RNA", at positions 355 to 774 of the family's 1533-position model. The record is from RNAcentral. Lineage: Bacteria; Pseudomonadati; Nitrospirota; Nitrospiria; Nitrospirales; Nitrospiraceae.
UGAGGAAUAUUGCGCAAUGGGCGAAAGCCUGACGCAGCGACGCCGCGUGGGGGGAUGAAGGUCUUCGGAUUGUAAACCCCUUCGGUAGGGAAGGACGCCUGCAUGACAACUAAGGCGGACGGUACCUCCAGAAGCAGCCACGGCUAACUUCGUGCCAGCAGCCGCGGUAAUACGAAGGUGGCAAGCGUUGUUCGGAUUUACUGGGCGUAAAGGGAGCGUAGGUGGUUAGGUAAGCCCUCCGGGAAAUCUUCAGGCUUAACCUGAAAAGGUCGGGGGGGACUGCCUAGCUAGAGGGCGGGAGAGGAGCGCGGAAUUCCCGGUGUAGCGGUGAAAUGCGUAGAGAUCGGGAGGAAGGCCGGUGGCGAAGGCGGCGCUCUGGAACGUUUCUGACACUGAGGCUCGAAAGCGUGGGGGAGCAAACA